Molecule: ribosomal RNA, 484 nt
Filed under: uncultured bacterium
Lineage: Bacteria
Description: partial 16S ribosomal RNA
Rfam family: Bacterial small subunit ribosomal RNA
Source: RNAcentral
GACGAACGCUGGCGGCGUGCUUAACACAUGCAAGUCGAACGAUGAAGCCGGAGCUUGCUCUGGUGAAUUAGUGGCGAACGGGUGAGUAACACGUGAGUAACCUGCUCUUGGCUCUGGGAUAACUGCUAGAAAUGGUAGCUAAUACCGGAUACGACCCUCGGAGGCAUCUCCAGGGGGUGGAAAGAAUUUCGGUCAAGGAUGGACUCGCGGCCUAUCAGCUAGUUGGUGAGGUAACGGCUCACCAAGGCGACGACGGGUAGCCGGCCUGAGAGGGUGACCGGCCACACUGGGACUGAGACACGGCCCAGGCUCCUACGGGAGGCAGCAGUGGGGAAUAUUGCACAAUGGGCGCAAGACUGAUGCAGCAACGCCGCGUGAGGGAUGACGGCCUUCGGGUUGUAAACCUCUUUUAGUAGGGAAGAAGCGAAAGUGACGGUACCUGCAGAAAAAGCACCGGCUAACUACGUGCCAGCCGCCGCAGUAA